GACGAACGCUGGCGGCGUGCUUAACACAUGCAAGUCGAACGGAAAGGCCCUGCUUUUGUGGGGUACUCGAGUGGCGAACGGGUGAGUAACACGUGAGUAACCUGCCCUUGACUUUGGGAUAACUUCAGGAAACUGGGGCUAAUACCGGAUAGGAGCUCCUGCUGCAUGGUGGGGGUUGGAAAGUUUCGGCGGUUGGGGAUGGACUCGCGGCUUAUCAGCUUGUUGGUGGGGUAGUGGCUUACCAAGGCUUUGACGGGUAGCCGGCCUGAGAGGGUGACCGGCCACAUUGGGACUGAGAUACGGCCCAGACUCCUACGGGAGGCAGCAGUGGGGAAUAUUGCACAAUGGGCGGAAGCCUGAUGCAGCAACGCCGCGUGCGGGAUGACAGCCUUCGGGUUGUAAACCGCUUUCGCCUGUGACGAAGCGUGAGUGACGGUAAUGGGUAAAGAAGCACCGGCUAACUACGUG
RNAcentral lists this ribosomal RNA (468 nucleotides) under uncultured bacterium. RNAcentral describes it as "partial 16S ribosomal RNA". It matches the Rfam family "Bacterial small subunit ribosomal RNA", at positions 28 to 507 of the family's 1533-position model. The record is from RNAcentral.